GAGGGUAUAGCUUAGUGGUAGAGUGUGUACUUGGCAUGCAUGAGAUCCUGGGUUCAAUCCCCAGUACCUCCA
RNAcentral lists this transfer RNA (72 nucleotides) under Camelus bactrianus (Bactrian camel). It matches the Rfam family "tRNA". Rfam says of the family: Transfer RNA (tRNA) molecules are approximately 80 nucleotides in length. Their secondary structure includes four short double-helical elements and three loops (D, anti-codon, and T loops). Lineage: Eukaryota; Metazoa; Chordata; Mammalia; Artiodactyla; Camelidae. The record is from Rfam by way of RNAcentral. RNAcentral also lists the same sequence under 2 other names.